AAGAACGAUGUUAUAAAUAUUGAUGUCAUUGGAUUUGUUGCACGUGUUCACUUGCAUAUCAGCGGACAUUUACAUGAGAAACUUAGAAAUGGACUCUGGGAAAUGCAUAUUUGAACAGUGUAUACUUUAUUUCUUUUAGUUUUCACGGUGUCUGCUGAAAAGAGAGAGAGACAGAAAGACAAAUAAACAGCAAAAAAGACCUCUGUAUGAAGCGUGGUUAUUAUUUCAUUAGACCAUUGCAGCUACAGUGAAAACGUACCGUGACAGCUUCCAUUGUGGCACGGUACCGGUCGGAUAAGAAGAGAAAACAAGACCGCAUCGGAAAGAAGGAGGAAACACGAUCGCGUGGGUAGAGAAGGCGUCAGAGAAGAGGCUUGCCGUUUCAUAGCUGUCACAGCCGAGGAAAGUACUGCGACCCGAUUUGUAGAGGCGGACAUUAGCCGUGUAGGCUACCGCCUUGCAAGUAUCCUUUCUACAGGCUUCAGAGUACACUGUUUGUUAAUCCCAACGUUACUUCAAGCUGAAGAGUCCUGCUCUGCAAUUAACAGCAGGUUUUGAAAGCAUGCCUCCUGCUUGUGAGACCACACCCACUCGUUCUUUUGUUCUAGCAGACAUCUGAGUGGAGCAGAACGUGUUGAUAGCUGGGGAAUGAAUUUGGCCAGAUUGGACUGUCCUGUUAGCUCCAGAACCUGCUUCAGUCAUGCAUCAUGUUCCUGCUGGUUGGAUCCCCACACAAGCAGACAUCCUGGUCCUUCAAAAACAUCUUCAUACUCCUGCAUGAAUGAGGUUUCAUUUGUUUCAAUCUGUGAUGCCACUACAAACACUCAAAUCAAGUUUUUAUCACGUGCUCAGUCCCAAAAUUGGCUGGACAUUCUUUUCCACAAUCAGCAUCUGUGACUUUACCUGCUGUCCCUUGUGUUUAAGAGUCACCAAUCAGCUCCCUUUGACAGGGACAUUCUCACCAGUGUAUCCUGUUACUUUCGUUCUCACUGGGUGUAUUUUGCUUUUGAUUUUGAGGGUUUUGUAGUCAGACUUAGAUUGACUUAUUCAGCAGUAUCUAAUUUCUAUCUGUAGGUCCGCUUUAUUAAUUUUUUUAUUUUAAACUCUCCCAUACUUGCCAGUCCCUAUAUCUGACACCAUGUUACAUUUUAAACACCAUGCUGAAUGUCUUUUUUACCACUUCAUUUUACUUUAUUUUACUUUUUAUUUUGCAUGUGCGCACGCAACAUGUCUCUUAGCACAACUUGCCGUUCACCCUCUAAACUGUCCGGGGACACACGCGCACACACAGAACCAAAAUUACAUGUAAUCGUUCAUGACAUCACAGGGACGUCUAUGUGAACUUUUAGCACAUAGUUAUGCUUGCUCUAUAUAUGGUUCCAGUGCUUCACAAAUGAGUGUCUGGGAAUCUGAUGGAGGAGUCUGAGUUUGGUGGUUGCCAGGAGAACGGUACUGGCCUGACUGCAUUGUGCCAUGUGGUGGUGUUUUAAAGUUUGGUGGAGGAGACAUUAUGGUGUGGUGUUGUUUUUCAGAGGUUGGGCUUAGCCCUUUAGUUCCAGUGAAAUGAAAUCUUAAUGCUUCAGCAUACCAAGACAUUUUGGACAAUUUCAUGCUCCCAACAUUGUGGGAACAGUUUGGGGAUGACCCCUUCUUGUUCCAACUUGACUGCGCACCAGUGCACAAAGCAACAUCCAUGGAUGAGUGAGUUUGGUGUUGAGGAACUUGACUGGCCUGCACAGAGUCCUGACCUCGACCCGAUAGAACAACUUUGGGAUGAAUUAGAGUGAAGACUGUGAGUCAGGCCUUCUUAUCUAACAUCAGUGCAUGACCUCACAAAAGCACUUCUACAGGAAUGGUAAAAAAUUCCCAUAAAUACACUCCUAAACCUUGUGCCUUCCCAGAAGAGUUGAAGCUGUUAUAGCUGCAAAGGGCAGGGCAGCUCCAUAUUAAAGGCUACAGACUAAGGAUGGGAUGUCCUUCAAUUUCAUGGAGCUAAAAUUUCGGUGAGGAUUCAUUCAAGCUGCACUCUGUGGACUUGGAGAAGCAGAUCUGCGACCUAUAGGUGAAGCUAGCUCAGCUGUGACAGCGGAAAGCCUCGCUGGAAUCAUCCUGGACUGACGCUUACCUGUCCCAGGUAAAUCCGCAGCAUGAAACAAACACUCCCACAACCUCAACUCCGUGUUCUUCUU
Long non-coding RNA from Hemibagrus wyckioides, 2189 nucleotides. RefSeq lists it as uncharacterized. The record is from RefSeq and is a predicted model, not a curated record. NCBI's taxonomy places the organism in Eukaryota, Metazoa, Chordata, Actinopteri, Siluriformes, Bagridae. The transcript is spliced from 5 exons.